This 460-nucleotide ribosomal RNA is filed under the name uncultured bacterium. RNAcentral's name for it is "partial 16S ribosomal RNA". It matches the Rfam family "Bacterial small subunit ribosomal RNA", at positions 338 to 795 of the family's 1533-position model. The record is from RNAcentral.
CCUACGGGGGGCAGCAGUGAGGAAUAUUGGUCAAUGGACGAGAGUCUGAACCAGCCAAGCAGCGUGAAGGAGGACUGUACUAUGGGUUGUAAACUUCUUUUAUAAAGGAAUAAAACGUGGCACGUGUGCCCUUUUGCGUGUACUUUAUGAAUAAGCAUCGGCUAACUCCGUGCCAGCAGCCGCGGUAAUACGGAGGGUCCGGGCGUUAUCCGGAUUUAUUGGGUUUAAAGGGAGCGUAGAUGGGUCGUUAAGUCAGUUGUGAAAUUUUGCGGCUCAACCGUAAAAUUGAAAUUGAUACUGGGAGUCUUGAGUACAGUUGAGGUAGGCGGAAUUCGUGGUGUAGCGGUGAAAUGCUUAGAUAUCACGAAGAACCCCGAUUGCGAAGGCAGCUUACUAAACUGUGACUGACAUUGAUGCUCGAAGGUGUGGGUAUCAAACAGGAUUAGAUACCCGAGUAGUC